This is a transfer RNA of Daedalea quercina L-15889, 99 nucleotides long. It matches the Rfam family "tRNA". From Rfam's summary of the family: Transfer RNA (tRNA) molecules are approximately 80 nucleotides in length. Their secondary structure includes four short double-helical elements and three loops (D, anti-codon, and T loops). The record is from Rfam. NCBI's taxonomy places the organism in Eukaryota, Fungi, Basidiomycota, Agaricomycetes, Polyporales, Fomitopsidaceae.
GCCCGCCUAGCUCAAUCGGAUAGAGCGUCAGACUCUUACCAAUUACCAUUGGUGCUAGCGGGUAUCUGAAGGCUGCGAGUUCGACCCUCGCGGUGGGCU